RNAcentral lists this transfer RNA (76 nucleotides) under Acidobacteriota bacterium. RNAcentral's name for it is "tRNA-His". It matches the Rfam family "tRNA". Rfam says of the family: Transfer RNA (tRNA) molecules are approximately 80 nucleotides in length. Their secondary structure includes four short double-helical elements and three loops (D, anti-codon, and T loops). Further hydrogen bonds mediate the characteristic L-shaped molecular structure. tRNAs have two regions of fundamental functional importance: the anti-codon, which is responsible for specific mRNA codon recognition, and the 3' end, to which the tRNAs corresponding amino acid is attached (by aminoacyl-tRNA synthetases). tRNAs cope with the degeneracy of the genetic code in two manners: having more than one tRNA (with a specific anti-codon) for a particular amino acid; and 'wobble' base-pairing, i.e. permitting non-standard base-pairing at the 3rd anti-codon position. The record is from RNAcentral. Lineage: Bacteria; Pseudomonadati; Acidobacteriota.
UGGAUUGUAGCUUAACCGGCAAAGCGUCGCACUGUGAAUGCGAAAGAUGCGUGUUCAAACCACGUCAUUCCACCCA